AAAAAGACAAACCCUGAGUUUUCGUGUACAACUCUGACUAUCCGUCUUAUAUGAAUUUUUUUUAUAAUUCGUAUUUUCAUUGUUGUUAGAUAAUAAAACAUGAUUAAUGUUUUAUGCGUGACUUCUCUUUUUAAUUUUUUCAAAUAAGAUGGACGGUCAAACGUUGAACACGGAAACCAGGGUUUGUCUUUUU
MicroRNA precursor from Oryza rufipogon (brownbeard rice), 193 nucleotides. It matches the Rfam family "MIR812 microRNA precursor family". The record is from Rfam. NCBI's taxonomy places the organism in Eukaryota, Viridiplantae, Streptophyta, Magnoliopsida, Poales, Poaceae.